GGUUACCGGUGGUGGCGAGAACUUGUAGUUUUAUAACCACAGGGAUUCCGGGGACUCCUUCCGCCCCGGUGACGAAGCCAGCCCAGCCGGGCACCCCCGGCAUCCCCAGCCAUAGUUUUCUACUCUCUCUCUCGGAGCUAAUAUUUGAAUCGCUCCCUUUUGUUCUCGCUCUUGCAGAGGAGCUAAUAUUUUGAACUGCUCCAUCCCUUCAGCGCCCCCUUCUCCCACCAAUCUGCGGUGCCUCCCGCCUUCCGACCGGUGACGGGAUAUCCACAUCUCCCCCGUCCAUUUCCGAAGCUGCUGAUCACCAGAAGUUUUUUUCCUGGUGAUACCCUUUGUUGACAGAAUCUAUCUGUCCAUAUAUAUCUUCCUUCUUUUAUCAUCUCCUACUUCAAUAUCCUUUUAGCGGGGGACGGCAUGGAGACGGCUGAUGGCAUAGCACGAGAGGGAACCUUCGACGGCAGUGGAGGAAACCUUCCUCGGAAGCUAGCCUUGCAAGGACUCUUCCUGAUGUCACUGGCUUUGGCAUGUCUCUUCCACCCACUACAAGAAGGCCUCUCGCCUCGCGAGUCCUUCCCCGCGGCCUUCUACUAUCUUGCUCUCUUGGUUCUCUUCCUCUCCGGUCAAGGGUAUAUGCUGCUGAGCUUGUGGGCUUCCUACCAUCCUAUUUCACGAAGUGCCCUGGCCAAGCAGCUUGUCAAGUGAGCGACGGUUGCAGCCUGGUUCCUGUUAUGUUAUACCUUUUGCUUCUAUUGUAGUUUGCAAAGGACCACCGUCCAUAUGGUACAUGUGUGCAAAAUAUAAACAAAAGAAAAAACUAAGGGGGGACUGUACUAAUAUUUGAUGUAUGCCCGCUAUAUUUGGUGAAAUAUAAUGUUACCUUAUUUUCUUAUAGAGGGCUUUGCAUUUGCGAUGAGAUUGGUUGGAGUCUUGCUAUAACGCACAAAAGUGACCACCUAUCAAGGCUUGUUGAAAUGAGUUCAACGCAUAAAUGUACCACCGCGACGGAGGGAACGAUUAGAAAUAGACGUUACCCAUCAUGUUUCGCUGCAGGUUCUAGAAAGGCUCUGGGCUUUGGAGAGAGAAGAUUUCAUGCACGGAUUUUAUUUGAUGUGCAAAUAUGGCCCCAGAAUCGUAGAACUUUUAACCGGUAGAUCUUCCAAAUGAGGAACACAAUCCUCCAUGUUGCAAUCAAUAGCUAGCC
This 1204-nucleotide long non-coding RNA is filed under the name Elaeis guineensis (African oil palm). Its description in RNAcentral is "long non-coding RNA (EGUI_LNC039590)". Lineage: Eukaryota; Viridiplantae; Streptophyta; Magnoliopsida; Arecales; Arecaceae. The record is from RNAcentral.